UUGACCCCUAAGUUACAAAUGUCCAAUUUCUAAUGACAGAGAUCAGCAUGGCCCUUACACAAGGAUGACCUGCCAAUUCAUGAAAUGUUCCACAUUUUU
Small nuclear RNA from Ursus americanus (American black bear), 99 nucleotides. NCBI's taxonomy places the organism in Eukaryota, Metazoa, Chordata, Mammalia, Carnivora, Ursidae. The record is from Ensembl.